CGGGUGAGGAACACGUACACAACCUUCCUUCAAGCGGGGAAUAGCCCAGAGAAAUUUGGAUUAAUACCCCAUAAUAUAUUUGAUAAGGCAUCUUAUUAUAUUAAAGCCUCGGCACUUGAUGAUGGGUGUGCGGCUGAUUAGAUAGUUGGCGGGGUAACGGCCCACCAAGUCUACGAUCAGUAGCUGAUGUGAGAGCAUGAUCAGCCACACGGGCACUGAGACACGGGCCCGACUCCUACGGGAGGCAGCAGUAAGGAAUAUUGGACAAUGGACGAAAGUCUGAUCCAGCCAUGCCGCGUGAAGGAUUAAGGUCCUCUGGAUUGUAAACUUCUUUUAUAUGGGACGAAAAAAGGGCAUUCUUGUUCACUUGACGGUACCAUAUGAAUAAGCACCGGCUAACUCCGUG
This 406-nucleotide ribosomal RNA is filed under the name uncultured bacterium. Its description in RNAcentral is "bacterial SSU rRNA". It matches the Rfam family "Bacterial small subunit ribosomal RNA", at positions 103 to 507 of the family's 1533-position model. The record is from RNAcentral.